CUCCUCUCCCCAUUCCCCCAAUCUGGCUGCCUCCUCUUCCCAUCCCCAGAUUGACCACCACCAACGGCGGGCGGCACCGGUCGACGCCUCAUCUGGUCAUCCCUUCCGGUCUAGUCCCGUCGCCCUCUCCUGCUCCUCGCCUCCUCGCGACCUUGCCUCGUCCUCCUUCACAUCAAGGCACCGGCCGACACGUCAUCUGGCCGCCCCUUCACAUCUGGUCUCAUCGCCGUCUCCUGCUCCUCGCCUCCUCACGGCCUCGCCUCCUCAACUCCUCCUUCACGUCAAGGCCGGGCAAGGCGGCUGCAAGUCGAGGAUGGUGGCGAUGGCGAGCGAUGGUCGGGCAAGAAGAUAACCGCGGCGGUGAUUGUGGCGACAACAAAGACCGGCGACUCGCCUCCUUUUCCUCACCUCAGUUGACCGGCAUCACUCCUCUUCCUCACCUCAGGUGACCGGCAGCACAAGCAGGUGACCCGCGGCUUCUGCAUCGACCCGAGAGGCCGAGACCAUCAGGGUGAGAACAAUUCAUCACUGUCUACUGAGUUUCAAACUUGUCUUGAUGAGGAGGACGAACCAGUGGGUGAGGAACUCUCCACUUGCAAUAACUAUUAGCCUUGCUACUUGCCUCCAUGGAGUCAAGAAUGAAGAAAAUGAAGGACCAAGAAGCUAUUGUGAUGGUCUCUUCUUCAUUUCAUUUAUUGUGCCCACCAUGCUUGUGUUAGGAAUUAGAACUUUGGGCUUGUAGUCGUACUAAGUAUUGUUGUUUGUGCCAGCCAAUCGUACUUUCAAUAUGUGGUCAGACUUGAGUUGAGAUGAUUGAAUCUGUCAAGCUUAUUGUGGUCAAACUUAUUAUGGUCAGAUUUGGGAUGAUUAAA
Triticum dicoccoides is the source of this 872-nucleotide long non-coding RNA. RefSeq lists it as uncharacterized. The record is from RefSeq and is a predicted model, not a curated record. NCBI's taxonomy places the organism in Eukaryota, Viridiplantae, Streptophyta, Magnoliopsida, Poales, Poaceae. The transcript has 3 exons.